GGCUCAGGAUGAACGCUAGCGGCAGGCUUAACACAUGGCAAGUCGAGGGGCAGCAGGGACUUCGGUUCGCUGGCGACCGGCGCACGGGUGCGUAACGCGUAUGCAACCUACCUUGAACAGGGGGAUAGCCCAGAGAAAUUUGGAUUAAUACCCCAUGGUAUAUUGAGAUGGCAUCAUCUUAUUAUUAAAGUCACAACGGUUCAAGAUGGGCAUGCGUCCCAUUAGCUAGAUGGUAAGGUAACGGCUUACCAUGGCCACGAUGGGUAGGGGUCCUGAGAGGGAGAUCCCCCACACUGGUACUGAGACACGGACCAGACUCCUACGGGGAGGCAGCAGUGAGGAAUAUUGGUCAAUGGGCGCAAGCCUGAACCAGCCAUGCCGCGUGCAGGAUGAAGCAUCUAUGGUGUGUAAACUGCUUUUAUACGGGAAGAAACCCUGCCACGUGUGGCAGAUUGACGGUACCGUAGGAAUAAGGAUCGGCUAACUCCGUG
RNAcentral lists this ribosomal RNA (491 nucleotides) under uncultured bacterium. Its description in RNAcentral is "bacterial SSU rRNA". It matches the Rfam family "Bacterial small subunit ribosomal RNA", at positions 21 to 507 of the family's 1533-position model. The record is from RNAcentral.